This 819-nucleotide ribosomal RNA is filed under the name uncultured Bacillota bacterium. RNAcentral's name for it is "bacterial SSU rRNA". It matches the Rfam family "Bacterial small subunit ribosomal RNA", at positions 58 to 908 of the family's 1533-position model. Lineage: Bacteria; Bacillati; Bacillota. The record is from RNAcentral.
CAAGUCGAACGAGAAAGCGGGAGCAAUCUCGCGAGUACAGUGGCGUACGGGUGAGUAACACGUGGGUAAUCUACCUCCGAGUGGGGAAUAACCCUGGGAAACCGGGGCUAAUACCGCAUAAGCCCGAGAGGGGAAAGCAGCAAUGCGCUGGGAGAGGAGCCCGCGGCCGAUUAGCUAGUUGGUGGGGUAAAAGCCCACCAAGGCAAAGAUCGGUAGCCGGCCUGAGAGGGCACACGGCCACACUGGCACUGAAACACGGGCCAGACUCCUACGGGAGGCAGCAGUGGGGAAUCUUGCACAAUGGGGGAAACCCUGAUGCAGCGACGCCGCGUGAGCGAUGAAGCCCUUCGGGGUGUAAAGCUCUUUCGGCAGGGACGAUUAUGACGGUACCUGCAGAAGCAGCUGCGGCUAACUACGUGCCAGCAGCCGCGGUAAUACGUAGGCAGCGAGCGUUGUUCGGAGUUACUGGGCGUAAAGGGUGUGUAGGCGGUCCCUUAAGUUUGGUGUGAAAUCUCCCGGCUCAACUGGGAGGGUGCGCCGGAUACUGAGGGGCUAGAGUGCGGGAAGGGAAAGUGGAAUUCCUGGUGUAGCGGUGAAAUGCGUAGAUAUCAGGAGGAACACCGGUGGUGCAAACGGCUUUCUGGACCGUAACUGACGCUGAGACACGAAAGCGUGGGGAGCAAACAGGAUUAGAUACCCUGGUAGUCCACGCCCUAAACGAUGCACGUUUGGUGUAGGUCAUUCAGUUGAUCUGUGCCGGAGCUAACGCGUUAAACGUGCCGCCUGGGGAGUACAGUCGCAAGGCUGAAACUCAAAGGA